RNAcentral lists this ribosomal RNA (503 nucleotides) under uncultured bacterium. RNAcentral describes it as "partial 16S ribosomal RNA". It matches the Rfam family "Bacterial small subunit ribosomal RNA", at positions 30 to 523 of the family's 1533-position model. The record is from RNAcentral.
CUUGAACGCUGGCGGCAGGCUUAACACAUGCAAGUCGAGCGGGGUGAUGGUGCUUGCACUAUCACUUAGCGGCGGACGGGUGAGUAAUGCUUAGGAAUCUGCCUAUUAGUGGGGGACAACAUCUCGAAAGGGAUGCUAAUACCGCAUACGUCCUACGGGAGAAAGCAGGGGAUCACUUGUGACCUUGCGCUAAUAGAUGAGCCUAAGUCGGAUUAGCUAGUUGGUGGGGUAAAAGCCUACCAAGGCGACGAUCUGUAGCGGGUCUGAGAGGAUGAUCCGCCACACUGGGACUGAGACACGGCCCAGACUCCUACGGGAGGCAGCAGUGGGGAAUAUUGGACAAUGGGGGGAACCCUGAUCCAGCCAUGCCGCGUGUGUGAAGAAGGCCUUAUGGUUGUAAAGCACUUUAAGCGAGGAGGAGGCUCUUUUGGUUAAUACCCAAGAUGAGUGGACGUUACUCGCAGAAUAAGCACCGGCUAACUCUGUGCCAGCAGCCGCAGUAA